RNAcentral lists this long non-coding RNA (451 nucleotides) under Sus scrofa (pig). RNAcentral's name for it is "lncRNA (ENSSSCG00055007560.1)". The record is from RNAcentral. Lineage: Eukaryota; Metazoa; Chordata; Mammalia; Artiodactyla; Suidae.
AUCAAUUUAAACAAAUGCUAUCAUGUAUCCCAAAGUACCUAUGUAUCAGUCUUUAUGCUCAAAAUGAACCAUUUCAAUUUACUGUACUUACUCCUGAUUUUCUUCUGCCACUUCAUCUCAUUGUAGAGAUCCUCUGUUUGAUGGAAAAAGUCAUUCACUUUACUUCCUUGUUCAUCCCUUUCUGUGGUAUUGAACACACGACACUUGGAUUCUCGCGUGAGAUAUUGUGUCCAACAUCUUUUGGAGAAACACCAUCAUCUCCGCCCUCAUCAUCCCCAUGAUCACAUUCCAAUCCUUGGUUAUAGGCAUUCUUCAUCACGUCCAUUCGAUAUUUACCAAGAGGAUUUAUGUCAUUUAGAAUCAAAGCGAUGAUGAUAUCAAUCCCAUUAGAUUCAUGAGUAGCAAUACAUGUCUAGAAAACAAAAUGUUUAUAAAAUCAUAUUCUAUUUAC